Molecule: ribosomal RNA, 440 nt
Filed under: Pseudohaje goldii (African tree cobra)
Lineage: Eukaryota; Metazoa; Chordata; Lepidosauria; Squamata; Elapidae
Description: partial small subunit ribosomal RNA
Rfam family: Bacterial small subunit ribosomal RNA
Source: RNAcentral
GUUCGCCAAAUAACUACGAGUAAAAACUUAAAAUUUAAAAGACUUGACGGUACUUCACACCAACCUAGAGGAGCCUGUCCAAUAACCGAUAAUCCACGAUCAACCCAACCCGUUCUAGCCUAACAGUCUAUAUACCGCCGUCGCCAGCUUACCUUGUGAAAGAAAUAAAGUAAGCCUAAUAACACUACAUUAAUACGACAGGUCGAGGUGUAACUAAUGAACUGGUAAAGAUGGGCUACAUUUUCUAACUCAGAAAACACGAAUAAACUAUGAAACUAGAAACUGAAGGCGGAUUUAGCAGUAAGCUAAGAACAGAAUACUAAGCCGAAAUAAACGCAAUGAAGUGCGCACACACCGCCCGUCAUCCCUGUAAAACACACAAAACAUCCAUAAACACACUAUCUAUACCAAGCAGGGCAAGUCGUAACAAGGUAAGUGUA